AGAGAGUUAAAGAGUACCUGAAAUUGCUGAAAGGGAAGCGAAGGAAACCAGUGUGUGUGUCAAGUCAUAUUUCUGCUGCCGCUUGCGGUAGUGGCGCUGUGCCUUGACGCUGGUCAGCGUGAGUUGAUUCCGGUUGAUACUUGUCACAAGGAGGGAGCUCCAUUAUGGAGUGUUCAUCUUGUGGCAUCUGUCCUGGGAGAGACUGAGGAAAGCCACGUACGUGUUCGUGGUGCUGUCAAAAUGGUUUUCUUUACCCCGUCUUGAAACACGGACCAAGGAGUCUAACAUAUACGCGAGUUUAGAGGUGGUAAACCUCCGAGCGCAAUGAAAGUAAUAGAGGUUGGACCUUAAUCGGGCACAAUCCGCCGGCCAUAAUCCUUCGGGAGAAAGGUCUGAGUGUGAGCGUAUAUGUUGGGACCCGAAAGAUGGUGAACUAUGCUUGAAUAGGGUGAAGCCAGGGGAAACUCUGGUGGAAGCUCGUAGCGAUUCUGACGUGCAAAUCGAUCGUCAAAUUUGAGUAUAGGGGCGAAAGACUAAUCGAACCAUCUAGUAGCUGGUUCUCUCCGAAAUUUCCCUCAGGAUAGCUGCAAUCGAAUUUCAAUCUUAUCA
This 609-nucleotide ribosomal RNA is filed under the name Rhizosolenia sp. 1BOF. Its description in RNAcentral is "eukaryotic LSU rRNA". It matches the Rfam family "Eukaryotic large subunit ribosomal RNA", at positions 382 to 1006 of the family's 3401-position model. The record is from RNAcentral. Lineage: Eukaryota; Bacillariophyta; Coscinodiscophyceae; Rhizosoleniales; Rhizosoleniaceae.